RNAcentral lists this long non-coding RNA (1668 nucleotides) under Heterocephalus glaber (naked mole-rat). RNAcentral's name for it is "lncRNA (ENSHGLG00100043750.1)". Lineage: Eukaryota; Metazoa; Chordata; Mammalia; Rodentia; Bathyergidae. The record is from RNAcentral.
UGUGGAAUGGCUAACUCAGGUUACUUAAAAUAUACAUCACCUUUCCAUUUUUCUAAUAACAUCUAAUCCACUGAUUAAGAAUCAACAAAAAUUCCGUGAGAUUAUGCCCUUUCCUUAGCCUUCUAAUUGCUUGCAAAGUUGGGGGGGGUGGGGAACAGUCCUUACUGUCCUUCCCAAAAAUAUGCUCAAGUCUGCCAAUUCUAACAUCCUGCCAGCAACCCUCGCGAGACCAACUGACACGGGUCUCUGGAAGGAGUCGGACCUUGGAAGAGCGUGAAGGCGCGCGGCAUUCUGGGAACAGUUACGGUGGCCGAAUUGACUUUGUGGCUGUUACCCUGGCAACGGGAGCAAAAGCAGGUUAUUUGCACUUGGAGUCCUUAGCCUGAAAGGCGGAGAUCCUAACAGGGCUUUGGAGAUUCGUGUAAGGGUCUUAAAGGCUCUUUUUUUUUUUUUUUUUUUUUGGUACCAGGGAUCGAACUCGGGAAUUUGAGCUUGCCAGGCAGGCGCGGUGCCACGGAGCUAAAUCUCCGACCCGUAGAGGCCUUUCUAAAAGAAGAGCGUCGUAUCCGGAAGUUUUCCAGGAGUGCUCCAUAGCCGGAACAGUGGAUCCAGGAAUCUGGGUCUCGCUCCGUUGUUUCUGGGUCUUGAGAAAGGAAGUGCAGCCCUCUGGCUCCUCACUGUUGCUUCUCUAGUUUUCUAGCUCCUUUUAGAAAAUUGAGUUUGGAUGCAACAUGUCAAGACAAUCCUUUAAGAAGUGUGGCUGUAAAGGAAAAGAGAAAGGUCAGUGCCUGAAGAGAAUGGCAAGUGAAGAAAUUGGAAGAUUUCUUUAUGGAAGAGUGACCUACUGUUUAUUAAUACAACAGAAAAAAAGUUGAUACUUGCGGUGGUUAUUCAUUGUCAACAAAAGAAUUAAAACCCUCAGCAGCAAAAUUCCUCAUUAAAGCAAUCCUGCCCAGCGAGUACUAAGCAGUCAUAAGAUAAUGCACUGUGAGGAAGAAAUAAAUGAUCUUGUCAAGUUGCACCUUUAAUGUACAACUUUAGAUAUGAUGCAGGUGUUCCUGAAAGAUUAACAAGGAAGAAGAUGCCCUGGAAAAUGCAUUUCUGAGACAUCUACAUUUGCUGACUCAGACCCUUUCCUAUUUCCUCAAUAUAAAGACGCCAGCUUCUCCCCGUGACAGAGCAAUUCCUCCCUUGGGAACUUACCCACCAUCCCUCUUGACAUUGUUUUCUGAUCUAAGUAAACUCUUGCCUUUAUUUUUAUUCUAGUCUUGGUAAAUUCUUUUACUGCUCACAUCACCAGUAAUGCUGUCUUGCAGGGCAGUAGUGAGGAAGAGAUUAAAGAUACUGCCAAAAAAGAGGAUAACUGACUGAUUACCUAAAGGAACAGGAGGAGAUGGGAUCCAUAGACCAGGUCCAUAAAUUACCUUAGAUUGAAGAUAGAACCAGGAAAGAGGAUGUCAAAGUCGAUAUAGCCCAUUAAAUACUUGGGGAAUUAUUGUGGGUUACCAUAUCCCAUUCCAUACUUUUCUAAUGACAUUAGGAUAAUGGUAGCCAGCUGUGCAUGUCAGUAGCUGCACCUAAGGGAUACAAGCAGUACUUUUUUUUUUUGGUACCGGGGAUCGAACUCUGGUCCUUGCACUUGUGAGGCAAGCAGUGAAACCACUGAGC